This 489-nucleotide ribosomal RNA is filed under the name uncultured bacterium. Its description in RNAcentral is "partial 16S ribosomal RNA". It matches the Rfam family "Bacterial small subunit ribosomal RNA", at positions 30 to 507 of the family's 1533-position model. The record is from RNAcentral.
AUUGAACGCUGGCGGCAGGCCUAACACAUGCAAGUCGAACGGUAACAGAAAGCAGCUUGCUGCUUUGCUGACGAGUGGCGGACGGGUGAGAAUGUCUUGGAAACUGCCUGAUGGAGGGGGAUAACUACUGGAAACGGUAGCUAAUACCGCAUAACGUCGCAAGACCAAAGAGGGGGACCUUCGGGCCUCUUGCCAUCGGAUGUGCCCAGAUGGGAUUAGCUUGUUGGUGGGGUAACGGCUCACCAAGGCGACGAUCCCUAGCUGGUCUGAGAGGAUGACCAGCCACACUGGAACUGAGACACGGUCCAGACUCCUACGGGAGGCAGCAGUGGGGAAUAUUGCACAAUGGGCGCAAGCCUGAUGCAGCCAUGCCGCGUGUAUGAAGAAGGCCUUCGGGUUGUAAAGUACUUUCAGCGGGGAGGAAGGGAGUAAAGUUAAUACCUUUGCUCAUUGACGUUACCCGCAGAAGAAGCACCGGCUAACUCCGUG